UACGAAGGGGGCUAGCGUUGUUCGGAAUUACUGGGCGUAAAGCGCGUGUAGGCGGGUCUUUAAGUCCGGGGUGAAAUGCCAAGGCUCAACCUUGGAACUGCCUUUGAUACUGGAGAUCUUGAGUCCGGGAGAGGUGAGUGGAACUGCGAGUGUAGAGGUGAAAUUCGUAGAUAUUCGCAAGAACACCAGUGGCGAAGGCGGCUCACUGGCCCGGAACUGACGCUGAGACGCGAAAGCGUGGGGAGCAAACAGG
Molecule: ribosomal RNA, 253 nt
Filed under: uncultured bacterium
Lineage: Bacteria
Description: partial 16S ribosomal RNA
Rfam family: Bacterial small subunit ribosomal RNA
Source: RNAcentral